This is an RNA transcript of Pipistrellus kuhlii (Kuhl's pipistrelle), 634 nucleotides long. It is a transcript of the gene named ubiquitin-conjugating enzyme E2 C-like, with no coding region annotated. NCBI's taxonomy places the organism in Eukaryota, Metazoa, Chordata, Mammalia, Chiroptera, Vespertilionidae. The transcript is spliced from 2 exons. The record is from RefSeq and is a predicted model, not a curated record.
ACAGUCGUGUUCUCAGUGUCGGUCUCAGUGUCCGAGUCUGCCAGUGCUGCCCCGAUGGCCUUCCAACACCGUGACCCAGCUGCCGCCAGCGUCGCCGCAGCUCGUAAAGGAGCUGAGCCCAGUGGGGCGCCGCCUGGGGCCCGUGGACAAGAGGUUACAGCAGGAGCUGAUGAAAGGAAUUCCUUCCUUCUCUGAAUCAGACAACCUUUGCAAAUGGGUGGGGACCAUCCAUGGAGCAGCUGGCACAGUAUACGUAGACUUGAGGUAUAAACUCUCCCUAGAGUUCCCCAGUGGCUACCCGUACAACGCUCCCAUGGUGAAGUUCUUCACGCCCUGCUACCACCCCAACAUAGACACCCAGGGUAACAUCUGCCUGGACAUCCUAAAGGACAAGUGGUCUGCCCUGUAUGACGUCAGGACCAUCCUGCUCUCCAUCCAGAGCCCGCUGGGAGAACCCAACGUCGACAGCCCUUUGAACACACAUGCUGCAGAGCUCUGGGAAAACCCUACGGUCUUCAAGAAGUACCUACAGGAAAACCAUGCAAAGCAGGUCUCCAGCCAAGAGCCCUGCCCGGGGCGGUCCAGCCUGUCUCCUUGUGUGGCGUCCAAAGGCCAUGCAGCCAUCCCUGCCUAG